GUUGGUGAACCAGCGGAGGGAUCAUUACCGAGUUGCAAAACUCCCAAACCCAACUGUCUACUUAUACCGAAAAACGUUUGCUUCGGCGGGCGGCCCCAGGGCGGGGCCGACGCUGGCGCUCGCGCGCCGCGCCCGCCGGAGGGAACAACCCCAAACUCUUGUUGUUUCAGUAGAACUCUGAGCCUAUAAACAAUAGUCAAAACUUUCAACAACGGAUCUCUUGGUUCUG
Molecule: unclassified non-coding RNA, 229 nt
Filed under: rhizosphere metagenome
Description: partial ribosomal RNA internal transcribed spacer region
Source: RNAcentral